Molecule: non-coding RNA, 137 nt
Filed under: chicken gut metagenome
Description: glmS glucosamine-6-phosphate activated ribozyme
Rfam family: glmS glucosamine-6-phosphate activated ribozyme aptamer
About the family: This entry contains a glucosamine-6-phosphate activated ribozyme that is found in the mRNA for GlmS. GlmS is an enzyme that uses fructose-6-phosphate and glutamine to generate glucosamine-6-phosphate.
Source: RNAcentral
GAUUAAUAGCGCCUGGACAAUGUUUUUAUAUUGUUGACGAGGAAGAAACUUAUCGAAAUAUUCGGCGGAUGGUUUCUUGGUAUGUUACUUACCACAAGUAUUAUGGCAAAACCUAAUAGUGAUAUUAGAACAAAUCC